RNAcentral lists this ribosomal RNA (165 nucleotides) under uncultured Oscillospiraceae bacterium. Its description in RNAcentral is "partial 16S ribosomal RNA". It matches the Rfam family "Bacterial small subunit ribosomal RNA", at positions 1218 to 1382 of the family's 1533-position model. The record is from RNAcentral. Lineage: Bacteria; Bacillati; Bacillota; Clostridia; Eubacteriales; Oscillospiraceae.
ACACGUACUACAAUGGCCGCAACAGAGGGCAGCCAGGCCGCGAGGCCGAGCGAAUCCCGAAAAGACGGUCUCAGUUCGGAUUGCAGGCUGCAACUCGCCUGCAUGAAGUCGGAAUUGCUAGUAAUGGCAGGUCAGCAUACUGCCGUGAAUACGUUCCCGGGCCUU